CAGCCUUGGCCUGCAAACCUCUCCCCUCCAGCCCUAGCCCCGCCCCGCCCCGCCGGGGCCCACCCUCUCCCAUGUCCCACCUCCCAUCUUCCCCGGGCUAGCCCCCUUUCCCCUUUUCUUUAAUACCUCGGGUUCCUCCCCAGUAACUCAGACCCGCCCCUCAAUGGCUCCGCCUCCUCCUCAUCUUUGCUUUUCCCCAGGAUCCUCCGCUUGCCCCGACCCCACCCUUGUUCCCCGCCCCUUUUUGGUCUCCCCGCCUUUCCCCUGGACCCGCCCCCUCAGAUUCCAGCCUGGCAGAAGCGGUGCCCUGCCCCCUUCCACUACAAGCCCCCUCCCAUCUGAGAGCCUCUCCUCCCCCAUCCCUUCCUCCGCUUGCCUCACCCGGGUGCUCGAGCUCCAGCCCGGAUCCGCUGGCUCUGAUUGGCAGCGGCGGCCCCAGUGGAUGGCAGAGGAGACAAAGUGAGGGCUGCAGGUAGCUUGAGGUCCCACCCGGCCACGUGCGGCUUCUGUGAUGACAGGUCUAGAGGGGCGGAGCCUCGGCCUACUAGGUGCCGGCCACGGCCUACGGGAUCCGGGCGGAGGCGGGGAGCAGGAGCCCCGCCACAGCGCGAGCCUGAGGGCUCUGAGACCGGGUCGGGGCUUCCCCCGAGGCUUUCGCGCUGAUGUGAGGUGCCUGUGGAACUUGAAGCUCUUGGUGGGAGUGUCUGGGCGUAUUUGCCCUUAUGGAGGAGGUCUGUGGGGUUUGCAAGGUAGUGCAAAAAAUCUCAGGGGUCUGUGAAGUUGGGGGGACCUGGGCGGUGGGGUCUCAGGUUUGUGAGGUUGAGCGAUUUCUGCUGCCUACGUUGUGCGAGCGGGUCUAGGUUCUGUGAAAUGGGUAGUGGGAGCCAGAGCUGUACCUGCUGAGAUGGAUCAGCGAGGAAGUCUGUGCAUUUUAAUUUUUUUAAAGUGUUAAUACGGGUUUAAGAGAGCUUUCAAUCGCCGGAGAAAAGCAGGACUUUUACAUAGGUUUCGAAUGAGCUAUGUGACAGUUACAUAUGUUCUGUAAUUUAAUUAGCGCUUGAGUCCUCUCCUCCCCCAGACCCUCCUGGGUCCCGAGGUACAGCAAUAGAGGUCGCUACCUCCCAACUACCCGCAGAUGGCAGCACAGGACCCUUGUAUAACUGAGUGAGCCUAGGUUUAGGGCCAAUUCCGGGCCUCCCGGAGGAGUGGGUGGGAUGGGCGGACCUGAUCAAGGAUGGCUGUAAACUGUAAAUAAACAAGGUCUCUAAAAGUCUCAAGUUCUUUAGAUCUCUGUGACUUUCUGUUAACACUUAGGCUGGUUUACUGAACACCAAUGGUGUGCUAGGCACAAAAAUGAAGGGAAAAAAAAGCACUUUCUCUGCCCUUAAGGCAGAAGCUUAUUGUUUAGUCAUACAAAUAUCUAUAUAAUCCUAUAGAGAGUAAGAAUGAGAGGCCUUUGUGUAGUGGAAAAAGCACAGGACUUGAAGUCAUCUGGGUUGGUCUCCGAACUUUGGCAUUUUCUAGCUGUAUGAAUUUAGGUAAAUUACUUGACUUUUUUCUAAAUAAACUUUUUAUUUUAGAACGGUUUUAGAUUUACAGCAUAAUUGGGAAUAUAGUACAUAGUAUUCCCAUAUACCCCACACCCAGUAUUAUUAACAUCUGACACUGUUGUUGUUAGGUGCCAUGCGGUGGGUUGUGACUCAUAGCAACCCUAUGAGCAACAGAAGGAAACACUCUUGGGUCCUGUGUCAUCCUCACAAUCUUUGUUAUGUUUGAACUGACUGUUGCAGCUACUGUGUCAAUCCAUCUCGGCGAGGGUUUUCCUCUUUAUCACUGACCCUCUUCCUUAUCAAGCAUGAUGUCCUUCUGCAGGGACUAGUCCCUCCUGAUAGCAUGUCCAAAGUACCUGAAAUGAAGUCUCACCAUCCUCGAUUCCAAGCAGCACUCUGGCUGUAUUUCUUCCAAGACAGACUUGUUCGUUCUUCUGGCAGUUGAUGGUAUUUCAAUGUUCUUUGCUAACACCAUAAUUCAAAAGCAUCCAUUCUUCUUUGGUCUUCCUUUAUUCAUUGUCCAGCUUUUGCAUGCAUAUGAGGUGAUUGAAAAUAUCAUGGCUUGAUUAGGUGCACAUUAGUCCUCAAAGGGACAUAUUUGCUUUUUAACACUUUAGACUGACAGACACAUGGUGGCAUCUUACAUUAGUAUGGUUCAUUUGUUACAGUUAAUAACUAAUGUUGAUAUUUUAUCAUUAACUAAAGUCCAUACUUUAUUCAGAUUUCCUAGUUUUUAACUGAUGUCAUUUUUCUGUUUCAGAAUCCCAUCCAGGAUACUAUGUUACCCUUAGUCAUCUUAUCUCACCUUAAGCUCCUCUUCGCUGGGAUUAGACUGGGAUCUGUGUUUUUGGAGAAGGCCCACAGAGGCAAAGUGCCAUUUUCAUCAUAUAUCAAGGAUACAGACUGUCAACCUGACUUUUCACUGCUGAAGUUAGCCCUGAUCACCUGGCUGAGGUCACUGAAAGUCCUCUCUCUCAACUGCCUGCAGCUAAAUCUAAGUAUGAACUCCUUUCAAAUGCUAGGGGACUUUCAAGUAUUGUACUAGGAUAACUAAUGAAGACAGUGGGACACAGAAGCUCUGACUUUCCAUCUCAGUUUUAGUUGGUUCUGAAGAUACCACCUACUUUGCUGAUGAGUGUAACUGGCUCUGGUCAGUACUUUGCAGGCAGAGGACCUUACUGCCUGCUUUCCUUGCACUUUACAUUUUAACUGGGAAACUCAGAUGCCUUGGAGCCUGCAUCACAACUUCAAGACAGUGACUCUUGCUCUACAUAGCCCAUCUUCACCUCCUAGCUGCAUUCACCCCUACUAUCUGCAACGUAAGUUAUAACGAACAUGUAUUUGGCAUUUAACAACAACAACAAAUUGGACAUGUAGUAUGUACAAGGUAAUUGAAAUGCAUUUCAUCAUUUAAACCUCGAAACCAUCUUAUGAAGUAGGUACUAUUAUUACUCCCUGGGAAACUGAGGUCAAGUAACUUGCUCAAGGUCACAGAACCAGAGCUAGGACUCAAAUCUAGGUGUGGUAGAGGGACUUCUAGGAUGGCCCCCAAUGAUGCUUGUUGCAUGGUGGUAUUUACAAUCCUGUGUAAUCCCCUUCUUUUGAGUGUGGACUGGGCCUAGUGACUUGCUUCUGAUGAAUAGGAAACAGUAAAAAUAAUGGAAUGUGAUUAGGUUCCAAAAGACCAUGAUUUCUGUUGUAUGAGUGGACUCUAUUGCCUUCUCAGUGUGGAUGCUUUGAUGAAGCAAGCUGCCAUGAUGGACAAGCCCACAUGGCUUGUUGGGCAAAAAACAGAGGCCAGCCAAUAGACAAUAAGGAACUGAGGCCAUCAGUCCAACAGCCUUAUAGCAACUGAAUCCUGCCAACACUCAGGUCAGUGAGGUUGGAAGUGAAUCCUUCCUCAGUCAAGCUGACACCUUGAAUGCAGCCUGUGAGAGACCCUGACCCACAGAAACUGUGAGAUAAUAAAUGUUGUUUUACCUAAACUAGCACAAACAGUGGUAGAACAACUAAAUAGACCCAUAACAAAAGAAAAGAUUGAAAAGGUAAUCAAAAAACUCCCAACAAAAAAAAGCCCUGGCCCAGACAGCUUCACUGCAGAGUUCUACCAAACUUUCAGAGAAGAGUUAACACCACUACGACUAAAGGUAUUUCAGAGCAUAGAAAAGGACGGAAUACUCCCAAACUCAUUCUAUGAAGCCACCAUAUCCCUGAUACCAAAACCAGGUAAAGACACCACAAAGAAAGAAAAUUACAGACCUAUAUCCCUCAUGAACUUAGAUGGAAAAAUCCUCAACAAAAUUCUAGCCAAUAGAAUUCAACAACAUAUCCAAAAAAUAAUUAACCAUGACCAAGUGGGAUUUAUACCAGGUAUGCAGGGAUGCCUCAACAUUAGAAAAACAAUGUAAUCAAACAUAUAAAUAAAACAAAAGACAAGAAUCACAUGAUUUUAUCCAUUGAUGCAGAAUAAGGCAUUUGAUAAAGUUCAAAGUUCAUGAUAAAAAUUCUCAGCAAAAUAGGAAUAGAAGGAAAAUUCCUCAACAUAAUAAAGGGCAUUUAUACAAAGCCAAUAGCCAACAUCAUCCUAAAUGGAGAGAGUCUGAAAGCAUUCCUCUUGAGAUCGGGAACCAGACAAGGAUGCCCUUUAUCACCACCCUUAUUCAACAUUGUGCUGGAGGUCCUAGCCAGAGAAAUUAGGCGAGAUAAAGAAAUAAAGGACAUCCAGAUUAGCAAGGAAGAAGUAAGUAUCUCUAUUUGCAGAUGACAUGAUCUUAUACACAGAAAAUCCUAAAGAAUCCUCAAGAACACCAUUGAAACUAAUAGAAGAGUUCAGCAGAGUAUCAGCAUACAAGAUAAACAUACAAAAAUCGGUUGGAUUCCUCUACACCAACAAAAAGAACAUCAAAGAGGAAAUCACCAAAUCAAUACCAUUUAUGGUAAACCCCAAGAAGAUAAAAUACCUUGGAAUAAAUCUUACCAGAGAUGUAAAAGACUUAUACAAAGAAAACUACAAAACACUUCUGCAAAAAACCAAAAGAGACCUACAUAAGUGGAAAAACAUACCUUCCUCAUGGAUAGGAAGACUUAACGUUGUAAAAAUGUCUAUUCUACCAAGAGUGAUCUGGAUAUUUAAUGCAAUUCUGAUCCAAAUUCCAAUGACAUUCUUUAAUGAGAUGGAGAAACAAAUCACCAACUUCAUAUGGAAGGGAAAGAGGCCCCAAAUAAGUAAAGCAUUACUGAAAAAGAAGGACAAAGUGGGAGGCCUCACUCUACCUGAUUUUAGAACCUGUUAUAUUGCCACAGUAGUCAAAACAGCCUGGUACUGGUACAACAACAGAUAUGUAGACCAAUGGAACAGAAUUGAGAAUCCAGAUAUAAAUCUAUCCACAUAUGAGCUGUUGAUAUUUGACAAAGGCCCUAAAUCAGUUAAAUGGGGAAAAGACAGUCUUUUUAACAAACGGUGCUGGCAUAACUGGAUAUCCAUCUGCAAAAAAAUGAAACAAGACCCAUAUCUCACACCGUGCACAAAAACGAACUCAAAAUGGAUCAAAGACCUAAAUAUAAAAUCUAAAACGAUGAAGAUCAUGGAAGAAAAAAUAGGGACAACGUUAGGAGCCCUAAUACACGGCAUAAACAGUGUAUAAAAGAUUACUAACAAUGCAGAAGAAAAACUAGAUAACUGGGAGCUCCUAAAAAUCAAACACCUAUGCUCAUCCAAAGACUUCACCAAAAGGGUAAAAAGAUUACCUACAGACUGGGAAAAAGUUUUUAGCUAUGACAUUUCCAAUUAGCACCUGAUCUCUAAAAUCUACAUGAUACUGCAAAACCUCAACUACAAAAAGACAAAUAAUCCAAUUAAAAAAUGGGCAAAAGAUAUGAACAGGCACUUCACUAAAGAAGACAUUCAGGUAGGUAACAGAUAUAUGAGGAAAUGCUCACAAUCGUUAGCCAUUAGAGAAAUGCAAAUCAAAACUACAAUGAGAUUUCAUCUCACUCCAACAAGGCUGGCAUUUAAACCAAAAAACACAAAAUAAUAAGUGUUGUUGAGGUUGUGGAGAGACUGGAACACUUAUACACUGCUGGUGCGAAUGUCAAAUGGUACAACUACUUUGGAAAUUGAUUUGGCGCUUCCUUAAAAAGCUAGAAAUAGAACUUCUAUACUAUCCAGCAAUCCCCCUCCUUGGAAUACAUCCUAGGGAAAUAAGAGUCUUUACACGAACAGAUAUAUGCACACCCAUGCUCAUUGCAGCACUGUUUACAAUAGCAAAAAGACGGAAGCAACCAAGGUGCCCAUCAACAGAUGAAUGGACAAAUUAUGGUAUAUUCACACAAUGGAAUACCACGCAUCGAUAAAGAACAGUGGUGAAUCUGUGACGCAUUUCAUAAAUGGAGGAAUCUGGGAAGGCAUUAUGCUAAGUGAAAUUAGUCAGUUGCAAAAGGACAAAUAUUGCAUAAGACCACUAUUGUAAGAACUUGAGAAAUAGUUUAAACAGAGAAGAAAAUAUUCUUUGAUGGUUAA
Molecule: long non-coding RNA, 6069 nt
Organism: Loxodonta africana (African savanna elephant)
Lineage: Eukaryota; Metazoa; Chordata; Mammalia; Proboscidea; Elephantidae
Exons: 3
Source: RefSeq, a predicted model, not a curated record